GGGGGGGGGGGGGGGGGGGGCGGGGGGGGGGGGGUCGGGGGGGAGGGGGGGUGGGGGGGGGGGGUGCGGGGGGGGGGGGGCGGGCGGGUGAGGGAUACAUCGGGCUCUUCUUGUUCGGGGGGGGGAACGUAGGGGAGCGUGUGCUCGUACCGGCUACGGCCUACGGGUGGGAGGAGGGGGACUUCGGACCUUUGGGCGUUGAAAGAGCCGAUGUCGGAUUAGCCAGUUGGCGGGGUAAAGGCCCACCAAGGCGACGAUCCGUAGCUGGUCUGAGAGGAUGAUCAGCCACACUGGAACUGAGACACGGUCCAGACUCCUACGGGAGGCAGCAGUGGGGAAUAUUGGACAAUGGGCGCAAGCCUGAUCCAGCCAUACCGCGUGGGUGAAGAAGGCCUUCGGGUUGUAAAGCCCUUUUGUUGGGAAAGAAAAGCAGCAGGUUAAUACCCCGCUGUUCUGACGGUACCCAAAGAAUAAGCACCGGCUAACUUCGUG
RNAcentral lists this ribosomal RNA (492 nucleotides) under uncultured bacterium. RNAcentral's name for it is "partial 16S ribosomal RNA". It matches the Rfam family "Bacterial small subunit ribosomal RNA", at positions 38 to 507 of the family's 1533-position model. The record is from RNAcentral.